GGCAUGUGGCUCCUGCGGUGGCCGCCGCCCCCACUCAGAGGAGCCUGUGGGCCUCCUCGGACUGCCCUGUGAAUCCUCUACCCAGAUGCUACAGACAGGAACGCUUUCCACGUGGGAAACCAUCUGCUCCACCCACCUCAUGCCCUGGGAAAAGGAUCCCGUUCCUUGGGCUCUGUGGAGUGAGAUACCACUGACUGCAAUCCCAAGAAGGAUGUGGCUUUCCCAUGUCUCUCCUGAGAACCUGCCAGCAGCACUUAUGAACUGUUAGCACCCGUAAUUUCUGCCUUGAAUAACCAUCAGCAAGGUGCCGGGUAUGCAAAGACCCUUGCCAUUUUGUCUGUGUGCUCCACUAUCAGCUACCUCUGCCCUGCUGAGGUCCUGGAGAGCCGUGGCAUGGGCUGUGGUCCUGAGGUCAGCCUCCCCUACAGCCCGCAGCCCUCCCUGACCUGAGGGAGCCCAAGUGCCCCUGCUGAGAAAGUGGCCUCCUGGUUCCACCCUAGGUACUCAGGUGCGGUCCCACUUCCUGCAGUUGAGGACUUGCCUUUUCUGAGAAGUAUGUUGAGAUUGCACUUAGAGACUAAAGCGGCACUUAGAGACUGAAGUGGCGCUAGGCAAAUUAUCGGGCAGCUCUCCGAGUGCAGGUGCUGACUACACCAUUGCACCUGGCCUUGAAAUUCACCCACUCAAGGUUCCAGGUGAGACGGAUGCUGCCAGUCCACCCACCAGUUGUGCAGAAGCCAG
Molecule: long non-coding RNA, 741 nt
Filed under: Cavia porcellus (domestic guinea pig)
Lineage: Eukaryota; Metazoa; Chordata; Mammalia; Rodentia; Caviidae
Description: lncRNA (ENSCPOG00000033625.1)
Source: RNAcentral